Molecule: long non-coding RNA, 728 nt
Organism: Chinchilla lanigera (long-tailed chinchilla)
Lineage: Eukaryota; Metazoa; Chordata; Mammalia; Rodentia; Chinchillidae
Exons: 3
Source: RefSeq, a predicted model, not a curated record
CUGACAUAAACAUCUAUGGCACCCUGAUGAGUUGAGGCUUUCAGACAUCCUGCGGAUGAAUCUGGGAGGAAGAAAAAAAAUGGAAAGCUUAUGGCUCUGGAAUAUUUAGCAUGAUGUUUGCUACAGAUACCUUUUGGAUGCCUUUUAUCAGAUUAAGGAGGCUUCCUGCUAUUUCAGAUUGGUUUUAUUGUUGCUGUAAUAAUAAAGUAGCAAAAGAAGUGUCAGGAAUUAAACAAAAAUUCACUGCUUGGAAUCAUAAUAAUAUCAAGUGGAAAGAAAUGUCAGCUGCUGUCAAAUAACCUGGACCCAAAGGGAAAAGGAGAUACCUGAACAUUCUCGUAGCUUCACAGAAGGGCUUGGAGUCAAAGACCACUGUGAGCAGCUACGUAAACACCAACGAUGAGGAGGGUGACAACUUUGAUCAUCAAGGCUGUUCAUCACUAUUAAUAAUUGCUAUCACUUGGCAGUUUCUUGUUCCAGAGACAAUGUCAUCUGCUCUACUUGAACUACACCAUUUGAGUCUCACCACAACCCAAAGAGACAGGUAUCAUAUUUUCCCCAUUUUACACAGCAAGAAAGCUAAGACCCAGAAAUGUCAAAUAACUUUAUCAGGGUGACAUGUUAGGAAACAACAAAAUCUGAACUAACAAUUAGAAUCCAGCCCUGUAUGCCUCUAAAGCCUACACUCUGUAUUUUUUUCUUUUUUCUUUUUUUUUUUUUUUUAAGGU